Molecule: ribosomal RNA, 505 nt
Filed under: uncultured bacterium
Lineage: Bacteria
Description: partial 16S ribosomal RNA
Rfam family: Bacterial small subunit ribosomal RNA
Source: RNAcentral
GACGAACGCUGGCGGCGUGCCUAAUACAUGCAAGUAGAACGCACAGUUUAUACCGUAGCUUGCUACACCAUACACUGUGAGUUGCGAACGGGUGAGUAACGCGUAGGUAACCUGCCUGGUAGCGGGGGAUAACUAUUGGAAACGAUAGCUAAUACCGCAUAAUAUUGAUUAUUGCAUGAUAAUUGAUUGAAAGAUGCUAUUGCAUCACUACCAGAUGGACCUGCGUUGUAUUAGCUAGUAGGUGAGGUAACGGCUCACCUAGGCGACGAUACAUAGCCGACCUGAGAGGGUGAUCGGCCACACUGGGACGUAGACACGGCCCAGACUCCUACGGGAGGCAGCAGUAGGGAAUCUUCGGCAAUGGACGAAAGUCUGACCGAGCAACGCCGCGUGAGAGAAGAAGGAUUUCGGAUCGUAAAGCUCUGUUGUAAGAGAAGAACGGGAGUGAGAGUGGAAAGUUCACACUGUGACGGUAUCUUACCAGAAAGGGACGGCUAACUACGUG